This 505-nucleotide ribosomal RNA is filed under the name uncultured bacterium. Its description in RNAcentral is "bacterial SSU rRNA". It matches the Rfam family "Bacterial small subunit ribosomal RNA", at positions 24 to 518 of the family's 1533-position model. The record is from RNAcentral.
UCAGGAUGAACGCUAGCUACAGGCUAACACAUGCAAGUCGAGGGGCAGCAUGUGGUGCUUGCAACCAAUGAUGGCGACCGGCGCACGGGUGAGUAACGCGUAUCCAACCUUCCCUAUAGUAGAGGAUAGCCCGGCGAAAGUCGGAUUAAUACUCUAUGUUUUCCAAUGCAGACAUCUAAAAUGGAACAAAGGUUCACCGCUAUAGGAUGGGGAUGCGUCUGAUUAGAUAGUCGGCGGGGUAACGGCCCACCGAGUCGACGAUCAGUAGGGGUUCUGAGAGGAAGGUCCCCCCACAUUGGAACUGAGACACGGUCCAAACUCCGUACGGGAGGCAGCAGUGAGGAAUAUUGGUCAAUGGGCGAGAGCCUGAACCAGCCAAGUAGCGUGCAGGAUGACGGCCCUAUGGGUUGUAAACUGCUUUUAUACGAGGGAUAAAGUGACGUACGUGUACGUUUUUGUAGGUACUGUAUGAAUAAGGACCGGCUAAUUCCGUGCCAGCCGCCGC